AAACCAUGAUGAGGGCAUUGAGAACAAUAGCCCUUGAAUCUCUCCCAUGCUUCACUGAAGCUCUCUAGACCUUUAUGUUGAAACCCAGAGAUUUCAUUCCUGAUCUU
Molecule: non-coding RNA, 107 nt
Organism: Brassica napus (rape)
Lineage: Eukaryota; Viridiplantae; Streptophyta; Magnoliopsida; Brassicales; Brassicaceae
Source: Rfam